Molecule: long non-coding RNA, 653 nt
Filed under: Neogobius melanostomus (round goby)
Lineage: Eukaryota; Metazoa; Chordata; Actinopteri; Gobiiformes; Gobiidae
Description: lncRNA (ENSNMLG00000008953.1)
Source: RNAcentral
UCAUUAGAAACGUGCAGAUGAAUGUCUGAAAACAGUGAAUAACCGGCUGUUGGUUUAUCCAAGAAUCGACACGAUACAGAGGGCCCACAUUCCAAAAUGGGAAGCAGGACUGGAGUGUCUCCCAGUCUUGCGUCCGUCAAGACCCUUUGUAGAAGAGAAGUCCAAACACUGCAGCCUCCCUGGUCCAGUGGUGAACAUUCAGAGCAGUGAACACACAGGAGCAGGUGCGUCCACUUUAUAUAUUGACUAUAGUGAUUCUCUGAUGUGCUGUAAAACCUUGUCUCAGGACACAAGGGAGGCCACAACAAGGCUGCCUCACUUCCCUUUGGACAAGGCUUGCAAUGCUCCAAGAUAGGACUUUUUGAAAGAGUAAAAACUUUGGAGUUCAGGUGUUCCAGGCCUCUACAGUGUGAAGCUGAGCCUAUUCCUGAGGAGAGCCCUUAUCCCACAAUCAAGACCCGCCUCCCUCCAUCAUUUCCAAAAGCACAGAGCACAGCAGCCGCAACACACAGGUUUGGCUUGGGAUGUUCUCAUAUUCUGUUGUCAGUCCUGAGUUUGUAAUUGACUUGUUUUUUGUAGAACCUGUCUGUAGAAGUUCCCAAAAAUACGAGUCCAAUUACUUUUACAAUUAAACUGGGCCAUAUCAAACCGAC